AGAACGUUCCCUCUGCCUUUUGGGGGUAUAUGUGCUGCCUACUCUGCUUCUAAUAACAGCACUUAUCAUUUAAAGGGUCUUCCAUUAUGCUGAGUGGAGAAAAAUUGCUUCUUAUUGAUGGGGACUGAAGGAAAAGGAAAAACCAAUUCAGAACUUGCAUGCAAUGCUCUGCUGGGAUAUGCCUAGAGGACCACCAAGAAAGUAUGCCCCAGGCUGGAGUGCCCUGUCUGCAUGGGGGGACGCCCUGGUGUCCAAGAUGGCGAGGCCAGCUCGGCGAAGGAGAGCUCAGCCGCCCUGCCUGUGCUGGGGAGCUAGUGGGGAGCUCCGAUGGUUUUGUGGGUACCAGCCUCUAGUGAGGGGUGUCCCUGACUGCCCAAAGCUGGGAACGGGAUUGGGGUCUCCAGUUGGGCAGCUCUCUUGGCGCCACUGCUGGAGGGGUUGGAGGUAAAUAGCAAAUGAGAACUUUUAUUGUCAGUGAACAGAAGGAGGGAAGAGGAAUUGCACCACCUCUGCCUCCGCUCGGACAACCAGGUAAUUUCCAGCGUGUCCAGAAGGUAGCUCCAUGCAGGAGAAAAAGUCAUGGGCCCCUUGUCAUCUCCUGUGAAAGGGCCUGCAAGAAAUCUUUAAUGCUAUAUCUUAUGGAAAUCUCAACACCACUCCUCUUUGGCAGCACAGAUUGCUGUGACCUAAUCCCUUUCCACCUGAAGAACUGACAUUAAUUUCAAAUCUAGUCUGCUUAGAAGAUGAGUUAAAAACAGUUUCUGCCACUACAUUUUUUCUCAAAUCCUCCAGGUACUUUACUUUUAUUCUUUUAUUUAAUGUUUUAAACUAUACUUUUCUCUUUUCUGCAGGUGCUUAUCUAUACAAAAAACAUGAAGUUAGCUAAAAUAAGGAAAAGCAUGAAACUAACUGCAGAAGAAAGUACUUUCAAGUGUACAAAGUAAAGAAAAUGGAAGCAUAAUUUUCUCUAAUCUUGUUUGCUUCUAGCUACCUUUGGUGUUAUUUGUAACAGUAGGAGUUGACAACUAGGUAGAAAAAGUGUGAUCUUUAAGUUGAUGGUGUCCCUUUAAGGGGUCUUGGAUCUGACCAGGUAUAAGAUACAGGCAAAGAAUAUAGAAAGACAGUAGAAAACUUAAACAAAAUUUAGAAAAUAGGAUGAGUCUCUGGAGGGCAGAGAAAUAACUUAUGCAACACCCCAAUUAUUUUUGAAAAGGAUCUUAAAAGAAUAGCAAGAAAUCAGAUCAGUCAGUUUGACAUCAAUUGUGUAAGUCUCAGAAGUGUUUUUAAAGGAUCAAAUGUGGAUAUAUUUAAAAAGCACAGUUUGAGAACAGACAAUUAGUGUGGCAUAAGGAUGGAGUUAUGAGGUUUAAGUAAUUUAUGUAUGUGAAUGUAUGUGUAUAUUUUAAAGAUAUUACUAUGGGGAUCAGUGGGAGUGCAAUAAACAGUAUAAACCAGGAUGCAACUGCAUGGCAAAAAUCUCUCUUUGAUUUAAGAGCUAAGGCAUGAAGUCCUCAGGAUAGAGGAAAAUGUGGCAAGCACAACUGAUGGUUGACUAAAUUAGGCAAAAGAUUAAAUGUCCUAUCUUUGGCCCUUGUCAGAUUAGCUCAAUUUCACAGGUCUGAGUCAUCAGGAAGGACCGGAAAGCUUUGGCAAACACUCCAUAUAGCUUUAGAAGAUCCUUAUGAUCGUGUGCAACAGAUUUGCUCCUGUGUGUCAAAGGUGUUAAAUGCAGAGUAUCAGAAAAAUGAUGCUUUUUGUUUCAAAGGAGUGAGAAAAAUAUCCUACUACAGGAAAAACCCAUUCAUCUGAAACAUUUUCCUGACAUUAAAACCAUUCAGAUUAAUGUGUGGGCUAUGUGUAUGGUUGGUGGGGUAUGGCAAAGAGAACUGACAACUAGAAGCACUAGAGAAGUGAGUGCAUAGGGAAAAAAGUGGAUCUGGAUGUGUGAAUGAUGCAAUUAUUUGGUAUUUGCAUGAAAAGAACAUGUCGCCCUACAGAAUUUUUGGAAGCCAUAUGCCCAGGUCUUAAUAGGCAUGGCUGAGAGCAGGGAAGAAGGGUGUGAUCAGAGGAAUCAUUUCAGUGAAGUGUAAGACCCCCGUAGCAAUUACAAUGAGACACGUCUGAUAUAAAACUCAUUCGCAUAUGCUGAUAGCAAUGAAGAAAAGGUUUGUCUGUUUUUCAGACGCUACUCAGUUAAAAGUCAUAGGACCCUGUAGGAACAUGAGAGAAUAAUUCUGUCACAUAUAUAGAUGGUAAGCUCUUCGGGUAAGGUACAAGCCACAAAACUGGGAUGAGGAUCUACAUUUUAAACAUCCCAAAGCUUCACUAUGUAAGUAGAGACCACUUGUAAAAAUUCAUAUUUCAGUUCAGAUUUUGAAACUCAAGCAAGAUGUUAGCUGUCUCUAAUACCUGGGAAGCAACCUGAACCAUAGUGAUGAAAGAUGCCAUAUACCAGUAAACAUAAGUUGUUGUUGAUGUUAUUCCUUUGCAGCAUUUGUCAUCAGAACUACUAAAUCAAGCUGCUUUGUCAUGCUGCACAUUGAAUGUUAAAAUAAUCCCAGAUAUAUUUGCAGAUACUACCUUAAAUUAUUUAAUAACCUGGCCUUGACAUAUGCAUAAAAAAGAGCAGAGGGUAAAUGCAGCCAAAAUGUGACAUUCUCUAUGAUACGAUAGAGGUACGUACAAAUUCCAACCAAGUGCUUGAUGCAGUGUGACAGCUUUACAUAACUCUCUUUUUUCUUUUUUUUUCUUUUUUUCUGAAUACACCACUGAAAAGAAUAUUUCUCUCUGUUGGCUUCAACUGGUGGAGAUGCUAUUUGGCUCCCUCUGUCAAUGAAAAUGGCAUUAGAACAUGCCAUUUUUUGUGUAUUUGCAGGUGGCUCCAGUCCAAAACACCUGGAAUCUUCUGUAAUUGUUUUAGCUGCUCUGUGUUGGUGUUUGCCACUUAUAUAAGAUGUGAAGAACUACACAUUUAAGAGGCAUCUGGCAAGAGCAUCAGACUGACUGUUAUGUUAUGCAGAGAGAGGUUCAUGUAAUCUAGUGCUGCGCAGAUACUGAAGGGAGCAGAUGCUGCCACAUAUUUGAGUGAUUUCUGAACAAUUCCUGUGAUGUUAGCAAUUUAUGCUAGACUUCUGCUAGUUGGAAGUAAGUGCCUCAGACAGUAGGUUCUAUUGACCCCACCACUUGGACAUGUUACUACUAUGAAAUUUGUGUCUAACAUGGGUGGCAAAAUAGAAGAAGGUGCAAAUAGCCAAGUGCCAUGUUUUAAACAGUUAUAACUUAAAAUCAGAUAGUAGUCAGGCCUACCUGUGCCAUGUUUUUCUUUAUGGCUCUCCUAGUGGAUUAAGGUGUGAAUUGCCCCAAUGAGUUGGGUUGUCCGUUAGUGACAAAUUGGAAUUUGUAGCUUUCCAGACUGAGGGUGGUUAGUGCUGUGUUUCUCCCUGAGCCCUUCCUACCAGUCUCUCUUUGCCUGCUGGCAGCUCUGGAUUGACUCGAGCCCAAAGGCGAGGUCCACAGCUCUCCUGCCUC
Molecule: non-coding RNA, 3528 nt
Organism: Struthio camelus australis
Lineage: Eukaryota; Metazoa; Chordata; Aves; Struthioniformes; Struthionidae
Source: RefSeq, a predicted model, not a curated record